RNAcentral lists this ribosomal RNA (432 nucleotides) under uncultured archaeon. Its description in RNAcentral is "bacterial SSU rRNA". It matches the Rfam family "Archaeal small subunit ribosomal RNA", at positions 474 to 903 of the family's 1478-position model. The record is from RNAcentral.
CACCAGCCCCUCGAGUGGUGGGGAUGAUUAUUUGGCCUAAAGCGUCCGUAGCCGGCCGGGUAAGUUUCCCGUUAAAUCCAACGUCUCAAGCGUUGGACUGCGGGAAAUACUGCCUGGCUAGAGAGUGGGAGAGGUCAGCGGUAUUCUGGGGGUAGGGGCGAAAUCCUUUGAUCCCCGGAGGACCACCAGUGGCGAAGGCUGCUGACUAGAACACGUCUGACGGUCAGGGACGAAAGCUGGGGUAAGCGAAACCGGAUUAGAUACCCGGGUAGUCCCAGCCGUAAACGAUGCAUGCUAGGUGUGGGUUGGCCACGAGCCACCCCAGUGCCGCAGGGAAGCCGUUAAGCAUGCCGCCUGGGAAGUACGAUCGCAAGAUUAGAAACUUAAAAGGAAUUGGCGGGGGAGCACCACCAGGCGUGAAGCCUGCGGUUU